AACGAACGCUGGCGGCAUGCCUAACACAUGCAAGUCGAACGAGACCUUCGGGUCUAGUGGCGCACGGGUGCGUAACGCGUGGGAACCUGCCCUUAGGUUCGGCAUAACUCCCCGAAAGGGGUGCUAAUACCGGAUCAUGUCUUCGGACCAAAGAUUUAUCGCCUUUGGAUGGGCCCGCGUUGGAUUAGCUAGUUGGUAGGGUAAAAGCCUACCAAGGCGACGAUCCAUAGCUGGUCUGAGAGGAUGGUCAGCCACACUGGGACUGAGACACGGCCCAGACUCCUACGGGAGGCAGCAGUGGGGAAUAUUGGACAAUGGGCGAAAGCCUGAUCCAGCAAUGACGGGUGAGUGAUGAAGGCCUUAGGGUUGUAAAGCUCUUUUACCCGGGAUGAUAAUGACAGUACCGGGAGAAUAAGCACCGGCUAACUCCGUG
This 433-nucleotide ribosomal RNA is filed under the name uncultured bacterium. RNAcentral's name for it is "partial 16S ribosomal RNA". It matches the Rfam family "Bacterial small subunit ribosomal RNA", at positions 29 to 507 of the family's 1533-position model. The record is from RNAcentral.